This 774-nucleotide ribosomal RNA is filed under the name uncultured bacterium. RNAcentral describes it as "bacterial SSU rRNA". It matches the Rfam family "Bacterial small subunit ribosomal RNA", at positions 51 to 820 of the family's 1533-position model. The record is from RNAcentral.
ACACAUGCAAGUCGAACGGAGUUCUUAAGGAAUGCGACUUCGGUCAAAUGACUUUUGAACUUAGUGGCGGACGGGUGAGUAACGCGUGAGCAACCUGCCUUUCAGAGGGGGAUAACAUUUGGAAACAGAUGCUAAUACCGCAUAAGAUUACAGUACCGCAUGAUACAGUGAUCAAAGGAGCAAUCCGCUGAAAGAUGGGCUCGCGUCCGAUUAGAUAGUUGGUGAGGUAACGGCUCACCAAGUCGACGAUCGGUAGCCGGACUGAGAGGUUGAACGGCCACAUUGGGACUGAGACACGGCCCAGACUCCUACGGGAGGCAGCAGUGGGGAAUAUUGCACAAUGGGCGAAAGCCUGAUGCAGCAACGCCGCGUGAGGGAAGACGGUUUUCGGAUUGUAAACCUCUGUUUUCGGUGACGAACAAAUGACGGUAACCGAGUAGGAAGCCACGGCUAACUACGUGCCAGCAGCCGCGGUAAUACGUAGGUGGCAAGCGUUAUCCGGAAUUACUGGGUGUAAAGGGAGCGCAGGCGGGAUAGCAAGUCAGCUGUGAAAACUAUGGGCUCAACCCAUAAACUGCAGUUGAAACUGUUAUUCUUGAGUGGAGUAGAGGCAAGCGGAAUUCCGAGUGUAGCGGUGAAAUGCGUAGAUAUUCGGAGGAACACCAGUGGCGAAGGCGGCUUGCUGGGCUCUAACUGACGCUGAGGCUCGAAAGUGUGGGGAGCAAACAGGAUUAGAUACCCUGGUAGUCCACACUGUAAACGAUGAUUGCUAGG